Molecule: long non-coding RNA, 640 nt
Organism: Canis lupus familiaris (dog)
Lineage: Eukaryota; Metazoa; Chordata; Mammalia; Carnivora; Canidae
Exons: 3
Source: RefSeq, a predicted model, not a curated record
ACGAAUGGGAUGAGCGCCCCAACAAAAGAGACCGCACAGAGCUCUCUUGUGCUCCUUCCACCACAUGAGGACAUAGCUAGAAGACGACUGUAAUGAAAGAGAAAGUGGACUCUUACCAGACGUUGAAUCACCAGGCACAUUGAUCUUGGACUUCCCAGCCUCCAGAACAAUGUCCCCAAAGACCCCCUCUAUCUUCUUGAAGAACUGUAGCUUUUUAAGGAGAAACAAUCGCCUCUCCUGAAAUGCUUUCUACUACCUCAGGAGCCAUCCGGCAGCGCAGAAAGAAUUAUUAAAAGAUCAGAUCUGUUGAAGAUCUUAAUUAGAAAAGCUGUAGUGUUCAAGGGUUCAAGAUCAUCGUGCCAAUCUGCAUCUAGCUGGCAGAAGGGGAACGAGAAUGGAGUUUCAUGCAUGGAAGUUUCACCGGCCAGGUCCUGAAGUGGUACGCAUCAUUUCUGCUCACCUUCCAUCAGCCAGCACUCACUUAUAGGGUCUCUGUUAAUUGCAAAAUUGGCGGGUAAAUGUCAUUUACCUGUGUGUCCAGGAAAAAAAGAAAAGAAAAGAUGCCUGGGGAAUAAUGACCAGCUUUGCCACACCUGUUAUUGUUUGUUUUUCUCCCAAUAUACAUCUAUUAAAAAAUGAG